AGUGAACGCUGGCGGCAUGCCUAACACAUGCAAGUCGAACGGCAGCACAGUAAGAGCUUGCUCUUAUGGGUGGCGAGUGGCGGAUGGGUGAGGAAUACAUUGGAAUCUACUCUUUCGUGGGGGUUAACGUAGGGAAACUUACGCUAAUACGGCAUACGACCUACGGGUGAAAGCAGGGGAUCUUCGGACCUUGUGCGAUUGAACGAGCCGUUGUCGGAUUAGCUAGUUGGCGGGGCAAAGGCCCACCAAGGCGGCGAUCCGUAGCUGGUCUGAGAGGAUGAUCGGCGGCACUGGAACUGGGACACGGUCCAGACUCCUACGAGAGGCAGCAGUGGGGAAUAUUGGGCAAUGGGGGCAAGCAUGAUCCAGCCAUACCGAGUGGGUGAAGAAGGCCUUCGGGUUGUAAAGCCCUUUUGUUGGGAAAGAAAAGCAGCAGGUUAAUACCCCGCUGUUCUGACGGUACCCAAAGAAUAAGCACCGGCUAACUUCGUG
This 492-nucleotide ribosomal RNA is filed under the name uncultured bacterium. Its description in RNAcentral is "partial 16S ribosomal RNA". It matches the Rfam family "Bacterial small subunit ribosomal RNA", at positions 29 to 507 of the family's 1533-position model. The record is from RNAcentral.